GUAGUCCUGGCCGUAAACUAUGCGGGCUAGUUGUCGGAACGGCUUAGGGCCGCUCCGGUAACGCAGGGAAGCCAUUAAGCCCGCCGCCUGGGGAGUACGACCGCAAGGUUGAAACUUAAAGGAAUUGGCGGGGGAGCACCACAAGGGGUGAAGCUUGCGGCUCAAUUGGAGUCAACGCCGGAAAACUCACCAGGGGAGACAGCAGUGUGAAGGCCAAGCUAACGACUUUGCCAGACGCGCUGAGAGGAGGCGCAUGGCCGUCGCCAGCUCGUAUCGUGAGACGUCCGGUCAAGUCCGGGAACGAGCGAGACCUCCAUCCUUAGUUGCAACCCUUAAAGGGGCACACUAAGGAGACCGCCACCGAUUAAGGUGGAGGAAGGAGGAGGCAACGGCAGGUCAGCAUGCCCCGAAACCCCUGGGCCGCACGCGAGCUGCAAUGGCAGGUACAAUGGGAUUUGACCCCGUAAGGGGGAAGCAAUCCUCAAAGCCUGCCUCAGUUGGGAUCGAGGGCUGCAACCCGCCCUCGUGAACCUGGAAUCCCUAGUAAUCGCGUGUCAACACCGCGCGGUGAAUACGUCCCUGCUCCUUGCACACACCGCCCGUCGCUCCAACCGAGUUGGCUUCGGAUGAGGCAUCAGCUUCGGCUGGUGUCGAAUCCGAGGUCGACGAGGUGGGAGAAGUCGUAACAAGGUGGCCGUAGGGGAACCUGCGGCUGGAUCACCUCC
RNAcentral lists this ribosomal RNA (725 nucleotides) under uncultured archaeon. RNAcentral describes it as "bacterial SSU rRNA". It matches the Rfam family "Archaeal small subunit ribosomal RNA", at positions 741 to 1477 of the family's 1478-position model. The record is from RNAcentral.